Molecule: ribosomal RNA, 253 nt
Filed under: uncultured bacterium
Lineage: Bacteria
Description: partial 16S ribosomal RNA
Rfam family: Bacterial small subunit ribosomal RNA
Source: RNAcentral
UACGUAGGGUGCAAGCGUUAAUCGGAAUUACUGGGCGUAAAGCGCGCGUAGGCGGCCGCUUAAGUCGGAUGUGAAAGCCCCUGGCUCAACUGGGGAAGUGCACCCGAAACUGAGUGGCUUGAGUACUAAAGAGGGUCGCGGAAUUCCCGGUGUAGAGGUGAAAUUCGUAGAUAUCGGGAGGAACACCGGUGGCGAAGGCGGCGACCUGGGUAGAUACUGACGCUGAGGCGCGAAAGCGUGGGGAGCAAACAGG